CCGGUGUUGGGCAUAAUCAUCAGAGCUUCGUCUUUUUGGGCAUAAUCAUUAGAGGUAAAGUUAUCAUAUAUCGGCUCUGGCGACGGAGACCUAUCCCCUUCCAGACGAUCAUCUAAAGGCAAACCGGAAGACAACAUCCUACUAAUCUCAAGAUGCUUAAGUACUAUUCAAAGCUUGAAUUUCAAGAUCGAAUUCAAUACCUCCCAUGAACUCCGGCAGUUGAAUCACCGACUUCGGCUCCUCAUCCGGCCAGCGCGACUUCCUCCUCCGUGCACCCCCGCUCUGGUUGCCCGAUUUAACGAGAGGGAUCAUGUUUUAUAACUUAUGCACAACCAAAGGUGAUUGGGGUCGCAAAGUGUAGAAGAACUACUAGAGCUACGAAAGAUUACGGCGAUUAUUUCUCCCUCCAAGCUCGACCAAUGGACAAACCAAGACCAUAGAGUCGUCGGCUAUGGAAAGACGAGCCGGGUGGGACCGGUGCGCCACCACGAUGUCGCCUGACAGAGGGGAGAUACAGACGGGUCACCUUUUUAGCUUCAUGGGUCGAAAGGAAUUUGUAAUGUUGAUUAGUGGGUUUUCUCUUAUUCAUGUAGCAGAAUUUUGUGUUAUGGUUGCUUUCGUCACAGAAAUCUAAUGGAAUAAGCACCCAGGAGUAGA
RNAcentral lists this long non-coding RNA (657 nucleotides) under Rosa chinensis. RNAcentral's name for it is "sRNA RchiOBHm_Chr4g0408551". The record is from RNAcentral. Lineage: Eukaryota; Viridiplantae; Streptophyta; Magnoliopsida; Rosales; Rosaceae.